Bos taurus (domestic cattle) is the source of this 1719-nucleotide long non-coding RNA. Lineage: Eukaryota; Metazoa; Chordata; Mammalia; Artiodactyla; Bovidae. The record is from Ensembl.
AGUGUCUGACUCCUGGAUCUGGGCUGACAGAGCCUAAGAAAGAAAUUAUUUCUUUGGAAAAAGACCAAGAACCUCACCCAGAUGCUCAAGGAACAUUGGAAUCUGGCUGUCUUGGGUUCCCCCUUGUGCCCCUCACCCCUCAAGGCUCUAAAGCCAGCCUGUGGUCCUUCUCCGGAGCGGCCAACUCAGAAGUAGCCCUCCGUGGUCUCCGCACCACCUGAGCUCCGGCCACAUGGCCUGAGUUGGAGUUCUGGCCUCUCCUUCGAGCAGUGAGUGAGUUUUGGAGAGUGCCCUAGACUCCUUCAGUAACUGUAAUAAACAUGAGCAGUGAGGCUGGGCAAGGUCUUUUGUCUCAUGGGCGAUGCCACUGGGGCACUUCCUCUUCUCUUAUAGUCAGGGCAGAGCAAGAGGGAACCUCAUCCCAUGGGGAACAGAGGCCUUCUCUCAAGCUGGGGCUGCAGAGGGGCUGAGACUCGUGCGAGGGUUUCUCCACACCCACUGGGAAGGGCAAGGGCAAGCUUCCGCACGGCCCUGGGGUGACAAGCCUGGGGUUAAAGGGGUAUCCCUGACUGAGACCCUUCUCCCAGCCGCCAUGGGCCAAAGCCAGCUCUUCUGCAGCCCCACUGCCAGAGGGAUCCAGGUUCGGUGUUUGUUCUGGGCUUUCACCUGGUGAGGACACCUUGCCAACGCCUCCUCAGGCCUCAGGGGACCCGCCCCUGCAACAAGGGAAACAGCCCUGAGGGUGGGGGAAAGGUAGGCCCCUCCCACAUCCGGUCUUCUCGCGCGUGCGCAAUUGCCCACGCAGAGCUCACCCCCGGCACCCACGCCCGAACUCGCUUCUCUGGUGUGCUGGGGCCUUCAAGGGUCAGCACCUCUUUUCAUGAGCAAACUCAGCCAUGGUAUGAGUGCUGGGAGAGCCACGCUUUCACUGCUGGGCUCAGGGUGCCCUCCCUAGCAGCUGCAGCCUGCAUGCCCGGCGUUCUUCCAGAGAGUUUCUGGAAAGUGGCUUCUGUCCAGCUCCAAGGUUGAUUCGCACCUGGAGGCCCCCUGACUUCUGCCCCUUUCUUAGCUAAGUGGCACAUGUCCACCGGUUUACUCCCACCACAGGGGACUGGAGGGCAGGUUCCGUAAAAAGGAGGUUGGACCCCCAAAUCCAACGUUGCUUCCUUUGCCCUGUGAUCCAGCACAGCUCUGUUCCCCUACAACCACACCCAGCAAGAGGGGGCUUCACUGGCCCUGCGCUCCCAGGCGCUGGAUAAAGGGACUUGCCCGUUUGACAAAGAGAUAACCCCUAGUCCACACUCAGGUUUGUAAGCUUAACCUCAUCUAAAGAAUGCUCUGGAAGGGUUCCAGGCUCUCCAAGGCACGAGGAGCUGCCAUUAGGCUGGGCGGUCAUGCGUAGCCCUUCACAUGAAAAUGCAGAAGAGGGUCUCUGGCCACGUUCAACCUAGGCGGGUCCGGGGCCUCGGGGGUGAACAUCUCCUUGCGUUUGUCCCAGGUGACAGGCAAAUGAGACCAAAGAAAAACUUGAAAGAGGAAACUGAUUUAAAACUCACAAAAAUAAAACAUUUCUAAAUAACAAAGCACUGCCUUUUCAUUGUUUAUCAGCUGAGGGUAUUUCAGGCAACUGAAGCUUUAGAGUUUUUCUUUUCAUCGUUUGUCAAAAGUUCAAAAUGAUACCCAGAGCUAUACAAUUUGUCUGUCGCUCCGGGCUUAUUG